GCAUGAUUCAUUUGUCACAAUGCCAGCAACGAAGUUGUCUAUGGCUGCACUGCAGCUACAAUUCACGAGAUCACCCUUACUAAUUAAACGCUGCCCUCGUAUAAACGCUGCACCCAAAAUGAACGUUAUUUAAUAAACGCCGCAGCGUUUAUUCGAAGAAAUAUGGUAGUUGUUGCAACAGCAUGUGAAAAAAACUACAAGGUUUGCUAGGCCAAAAAGAACGUUAAUCUUGCGAUAAAAGAAUUUACGCCAUUAAAAUGGGUUUGCAUUAACGCCGUUAAUAACGCGUUUAACUGACAGCACUAGUAUUUAGAGGUUUAGUAUACUGUAUUGAAUAUUGUAUAUCUUAUAUAUCAGGAGGUUACUAUAUUUUAGCUUAUCAUAGAUGUAAUCUAUGUUCUGUGUUCUUAUAUGUUAUGUUAUGCCAGGUUGCUUUGCGUUGUCUUGUCCUAAGAAUUUCAGUGCCAUGUCUGACCCUGUGUUGUUCUGUGCAUCUGACAAUAAAAGACUUGAACUUGAACAUCAUUGGUGCCUCAGUUCCCAAAGACAACAUGCAGUGUCCUUCAUUGCUCAAAGGUACUGUAGUGGUUGUCCCAGUCCAAUAUGCUGUGUCCAAUAUCUCAGUAAUAGUGAGCUUAAUGUUAAUGCAGCUUAUUCUUUCACGUUCUUCCAAUGUAGUCCAUGCACCAUAAUAAGAGUGAUAUUUGUUCCAAUAAAAAAAAAAAAACUUUAAUUAAAAUCGAGCUCCCCAAAGUCCAAAUAGGCUAGUUACAAAACAGAUCACAACUGUCAGUGUCAGUGUGGUGUUAUUUCCUCCUCAUCCUCAAGCCAACAAUUGUCAAGCAUGCUUUCGAGUGGCCUAAACUACCACCUCCCACAACGCCGGUACAACAAUUAAAAUGUAAUUCUUUUGAAUUCCUCAAGUGGUUAAAGAGAAAAUGUGUCACAACCAUUGUUUAAAACAACAUUUUAGAAAAGCUUUCACUCCACUUUUCUCUUUCCCUUUCUGUGUCUCGUUCUGGUCUAUUGGUGGCUGUUCUGCUGGGUUCUCACAGUCAAUGGGUUAACACUGGAGGAUAGGGAACUGUUCAGCUCUGGGGCCGUGGUGGGUUGCCAGAUUCUCUAAACUCAGCAGGGACCUCCAUCCUUAGACUCUCUGCUGUCCCAUCGCCUCAUUGACAACUGAUUUUCUGCGAGUUUUGGUGAAUCGCAGUGUGUUUUCUGGCACGAGCGGGGUGCGUAAAAAGCUUUGAACAAUGACAUGUUGGUCGGCAGGUUCUCUUAGAACCCCCACUGGGUAAACAAAGCCUCAAGCAGCACUUGAGUGUGUGGGUGAGGGCUUAUCUGGCAACCUGUGAGCUACCACCUUCCAAUUGAGCUUUGGAUUACAAUAACCUGCAUUGUCUGAUAACCAAAGCAGCCAUCUGCGUAAUAGUCAAGAGACCUCCUGCAUGGUAGUUAUGAGCUGAGAUUGUCCAUCAACACAAUUUCACAGAACAUAUCACUGUAUUGACCAAAGCCAUGUCUAAACUUAAAUAGAAAUAGCAAAAAAUUGAAGUUUGUUUUCCUACUGGCCCUCAUGCUGUCUCUUUCCUGUCUCCUUGUGUUGUGGUUCUGCUGUGGUUUCUCUAUGGUACAGAUAAGUGAGGGAGUACUUAGUAGACAGGGCGUGGAGGCUUUGUUGAGGAUAUAUGAUCCGGUUCAGCUUUCCUGGAAAGCCAUCAGACAGAACUUUCUCAUCUUGGACCGCAACUGCAGUGGCAAAAUCUCCAUUCAGGACUUCAGGAAGGUGCUGAGACAAUUCAGUGUGAACUUGACUGAAGAAGAAGUCUUUCACCUCACCUCCUGCUUUGACAACAAUACCACAGGGAGGAUAUUAUACAAUGACCUCCUGCACGCCUUCUUGUACCCAUCACGCAACCUCUAUAAGAGGACCCGUGGUUUCUUACAGUAUUUGUUUUUUGAAUGUUUAUUGAUAGUAGUAUGUUUAUUGAAGAUUAAUCCAUACUCAGGGUACUUACUCCUAGUCUCCAAAAAACGGACACAAUUAUAGUAAAUGAAUACAAGGACUAUAAUUAUUCUGAGAUAUAAUUACUCUGAGAUGUAUUUGUCACUCUCUUUCUUUCUGUUGUGUGGCCAUUUUGACAGUGAUUGUUCUCUGUAGCCAACCAAAUAAAGUGCUUUGGAAUUGUU
Long non-coding RNA from Osmerus eperlanus (European smelt), 2193 nucleotides. RefSeq lists it as uncharacterized. NCBI's taxonomy places the organism in Eukaryota, Metazoa, Chordata, Actinopteri, Osmeriformes, Osmeridae. The transcript has 2 exons. The record is from RefSeq and is a predicted model, not a curated record.